GCAGACGGGUGAGUAACGCUUGGCAACGUAGCUUUUGGUUCGGAACAACACAGGGAAACUUGUGCUAAUAGCGGAUAAGCCCUUACGGGGAAAGAUUUAUCGCCGAAAGAUCGGCCCGCGUCUGAUUAGCUAGUUGGUAGGGUAAUGGCCUACCAAGGCGACGAUCAGUAGCUGGUCUGAGAGGAUGAUCAGCCACAUUGGGACUGAGACACGGCCCAAACUCCUACGGGAGGCAGCAGUGGGGAAUAUUGGACAAUGGGGGCAACCCUGAUCCAGCCAUGCCGCGUGAGUGAUGAAGGCCCUAGGGUUGUAAAGCUCUUUUGUGCGGGAAGAUAAUGACGGUACCGCAAGAAUAAGCCCCGGCUAACUUCGUGCCAGCAGCCGCGGUAAUACGAAGGGGGCUAGCGUUGCUCGGAAUCACUGGGCGUAAAGGGUGCGUAGGCGGGUCUUUAAGUCAGGGGUGAAAUCCUGGAGCUCAACUCCAGAACUGCCUUUGAUACUGAAGAUCUUGAGUCCGGGAGAGGUGAGUGGAACUGCGAGUGUAGAGGUGAAAUUCGUAGAUAU
This 564-nucleotide ribosomal RNA is filed under the name Bradyrhizobium sp. Its description in RNAcentral is "bacterial SSU rRNA". It matches the Rfam family "Bacterial small subunit ribosomal RNA", at positions 98 to 697 of the family's 1533-position model. Lineage: Bacteria; Pseudomonadati; Pseudomonadota; Alphaproteobacteria; Hyphomicrobiales; Nitrobacteraceae. The record is from RNAcentral. RNAcentral also lists the same sequence under 1 other name.